Molecule: ribosomal RNA, 523 nt
Filed under: uncultured bacterium
Lineage: Bacteria
Description: partial 16S ribosomal RNA
Rfam family: Bacterial small subunit ribosomal RNA
Source: RNAcentral
GACGAACGCUGGCGGCGUGCCUAAUACAUGCAAGUCGAACGCUUUUUCUUUCACCGGAGCUUGCUCCACCGAAAGAAAAAGAGUGGCGAACGGGUGAGUAACACGUGGGUAACCUGCCCAUCAGAAGGGGAUAACACUUGGAAACAGGUGCUAAUACCGUAUAACACUAUUUUCCGCAUGGAAGAAAGUUGAAAGGCGCCUUUGCGUCACUGAUGGAUGGACCCGCGGUGCAUUAGCUAGUUGGUGAGGUAACGGCUCACCAAGGCAACGAUGCGUAGCCGACCUGAGAGGGUGAUCGGCCACACUGGGACUGGGACACGGCCCAGACUCCUACGGGAGGCAGCAGUAGGGAAUCUUCGGCAAUGGACGAAAGUCUGACCGAGCAACGCCGCGUGAGUGAAGAAGGUUUUCGGAUCGUAAAACUCUGUUGUUAGAGAAGAGCAAGGAUGAGAGUAGAACGUUCAUCCCUUGACGGUAUCUAACCAGAAAGCCACGGCUAACUACGUGCCAGCCGCCGCGGUAA